GAUUUCUGCCGCCACCACCGCUGUCCAAUGCCUUCUUCCCGCUGACGCUGACCUUCGCUGCCUUUACUUACGCUCACUGACGCCGAGCUCUCUCCGCUGCCGGACCCCCUUAGACCCCUGCCGCCGCCACCUUGCCAGCAUUCCCUCGUUCUCACGCAGGCCUCGCCAACUUGCAGCAGCCUCAGCUCAUAGUCUCCACAGGGAACAACUUCAUCUCUCUGAACUCAUGAAAGUUCUACUUGACCCUUUUCUGCAAACAUCUGCUGCUCUCUAGCUCCAGGGUCACACGAGGCGGUCUUCAGACCCGUGGAUUGGGACUCCUUUGUUUACAUGGAUGGCUGGUUUUCUGGACAGCAGGCCUGGUGACUGCCUGAUCGGUAAAGUAGGAGACUUCAGCAUCUGAGACCCUACCGGGUCUUCUAUGUGAUUGCCUCCGUGAAUGUUCGUAAGCGCCCUCAGAGCACUGUGGGCGGGUGCUUAGGCUCUGAUCGUAAGACGCCGCUGUUAGACAGCAAAGAUUCCUGGAGGUUCUUAUCAGAUAAUUUCUUGGGGAGGGCCCCGCUCAUGCCGCUGCCCUUGGAGUCCUGAACAUGGAUUCCCAUUCUGGCUCUUCUGCUUGAUAGCUGAAUGAUGGAUAGCCUUUGAGCCGUGGUGUCCUCAUCUGUAAACAUGAGUAUAAAGGUACCUCCUUCAUUAGACUGUUCUCAUAACUCAGUGAGGGCUUUGGAAGGGUGUCAUCAUUACAAAUGUCUAUGUAAAUGGUAGUAAUUUAUGCUUCUUUGUAUUCCUUCCUCUGCCUUAACCUCCUUGGUGGAGGGUGGUGGGCAUGCCUGGCACCCAGCACAUACAAUAGACAGUGAUAAAGAAUGAUUAUGAAAAUAAAGGACUGAGAGAAGUCUGCCCCGAGGUAGAGAGGGCAGCUGGGACACAAGGAUGAGAACUGUGUGUAGAGAAGUGGAGGAGUGUACAGGUCAAGUGAGGGAGCUGCCUCCACCUUCUUGUGGAGCGUGGGGUGCCAGCAGUAGGUUUAUUGCAGAAGGUAGAGAGGGAAUAGGUUAUACAGCUUUUUGAUUGCAGUGCUUCGUUUUGGAGGGGCUGGGACAAUAUUAAGACAAUGACGAGUGUUAGGUGCCAAAAGAGUAGACAUGUGAUUGUGGCAGGCAUUGGCAAGACUCACUGAAGGCAAACUGGCCCCAGUCACCUCCUCUGCUAAGGGCGACCCUAGUGUUCUCCUCCGGUUUUGCCCAUACUCACUCUAGUCGCCUCACUUGGGGAUGGGGGUCAGUCUGAAUGCCAAGUGAUGGGUUAAACUGGUGAGCCAAAGGGACGUGGAUGUCAGCCGGGGAGCUGGGUCACACUCCGGGGCUCUGCAGUGGCGUCCCCAUCGUAGCCCCUCGCCCUCUGCGGUCUGCACGGAGCGCUGGCCAUCAGAGGCAUGCACUCGAAGGCGCUGGGGUUGCCUCUGAGCCCUGUAACCUCGGGUAUGUUCCCAACCUCUCUCUGAGUCUCAGUUCCCUACUAUUAUCUACCAUUACUGGUGAGUCACUUACACAACAUUAUGUCUAAUGUUGCUGUUUAUUUUUUUGUGUGAUGCUUAAGUAAUGACCAAAGUACUUGGUCACAUUUAAAGGUUCACACAAAUCGUUCCUGUAAUAUUUUAUGAGGAACUUUAUUUUAAAGUUCAACCAUAUUUUAUGUAACAGGUAAGGAAAGUAUAGUGUAAAGAGGUUAAAUGAGUGUUAAGGUAAUUAGGGGCAGAGGGAGGAACAGAACCCAAGGCUUCUGUUUCCAGGAAGGGCGUCGAGGGAGUGCAGAGGACUGUGUGAGCAUCUCUGGACAGGUGAGCAGGUUCUGAAAGCAGAGGACAGCAACGCUGGCCGUCAGGGGUUCUUUGUGUGUGUCAGGCGUCGGGAGAGGAGAGAACACUGAAUGAAGACCUUUGUAAGUGAGUUGCCGCCUGGCCCUAUUCCCAGAAUGCCCGCCUAACUGAAACUGCCCACGAGCUGUCCAUCCAUAAAUCUCUAGGUACAUUUAAUAAAGGAGUUUGCGUGGAUGAUAGGGAAAUGAAGGCAGGAGGAGGUGAGGUUCUCACCAGUGAGGUGGGACUCCUGGGGAGGGAGUCUGGGGAGCUGGGUGAGGGGAGCCGCAGCAGGAGGCGGGCGCGGGGCUCCAGCCUUAGUGCCCCUGGGGCCAGCAGGAGCCGCCCUCUGUGUUCAGGGUACAGAUUCCUCCAGGUCAGCCACCAUCUUUAGCAUGUUUUAAACACAAGGCACCUCUUUUCAGGGCUUCGGGAUGGCUGAUUCCUACAUCCUUUAGUAACGUUUUCCCUGGAAAGUGAUGGACUGAGACAGGGACACUCGGGAAAGAGGGAGAGGAGCUGGUGAAAUCCCUCACAGUUUGGCGUGUUUUGUGGACAUACAGAAGUUUAGUGCCUCUGCAGCUUCUAGCACUUCUCCCCGCUCCCCCCCUUCCUCCCGCCUGCAUUGCCUGUGGGCAUUUUAGGGCUUGUAGUCAGCCAGCCCCUGCCCCUCCCUCCUGCCCACCUAGGGUUCCCCAGCUCAGCCUCAGGAUGUCUGUGACUUCCUCAGGGGAGCACAGGUCAUUCUGACAUCUGAGCAGAUUGUUCUGAUUCCUGCCUUCUCCUUGAGUUCCAAAGGGCGCAGCGCCAUGCUGACUGGAGCUGGCCUGCUCCAUCAUAGGGGAGCUGAAUUGUGAGUUUUCAGGAUUUUUGUGAGCCAGUGGAUA
Long non-coding RNA from Manis pentadactyla (Chinese pangolin), 2745 nucleotides. RefSeq lists it as uncharacterized. The transcript has 3 exons. NCBI's taxonomy places the organism in Eukaryota, Metazoa, Chordata, Mammalia, Pholidota, Manidae. The record is from RefSeq and is a predicted model, not a curated record.